CCUGGGUGGCUCAGUCGGUUAAGCGUCAUGUCAUGAUCUCACAGUUUGUGAGUUCGAGCCCCACAUCCGGC
Molecule: transfer RNA, 71 nt
Filed under: Felis catus (domestic cat)
Lineage: Eukaryota; Metazoa; Chordata; Mammalia; Carnivora; Felidae
Description: tRNA-OTHER
Source: RNAcentral